GCACUGUACCUGCUAUAAGAAAGGCAACAAGGGGUACAUCCGGGUUCCCGGAACUCCUGACACCAACUGUGGCUGCAACGAUAAACCGCACACUUGUUGAAGGAGUUCCCAUUGGCUGACACCAAUAAAACCCAAGGCAGAAGAGAGCCCACUGAUGGAGUGAAUUGACUGACACAGUCAUUGAGCAGACUGAGUGGUACUUACCAGGUGGCCCACAGUGGUGUAGAAUGUCUUCGCAUACACCAUGGGAGGCAUUAUUCAACUGACAACAACUGAGGCUUCAUAGUUGUUUUCCACAAUUAUAAAUUGAGGUACAGAUCCAAGAAUUGUAGUUUCAGUUCUACAUUGUAAUAUCUAUGAUACCUUGCAGUCAAAUUAAAUUUCAAGUCCACAUGUUGGCAAUAUAAAAUCUGUCUUGCUUCACAAUGAU
Mesocricetus auratus (golden hamster) is the source of this 430-nucleotide long non-coding RNA. RefSeq lists it as uncharacterized. The record is from RefSeq and is a predicted model, not a curated record. Lineage: Eukaryota; Metazoa; Chordata; Mammalia; Rodentia; Cricetidae. The transcript has 3 exons.